Molecule: long non-coding RNA, 5979 nt
Filed under: Olea europaea subsp. europaea
Lineage: Eukaryota; Viridiplantae; Streptophyta; Magnoliopsida; Lamiales; Oleaceae
Source: RNAcentral
CACGUCCCUUAUCCACACUGGCGUGACUUCAGUGACUGCCAUCAUUCUAAAUUCUUUUCCUCCCUUCUAGAUAAAGCAUUUGCCACCUGAUUUUCCAUCCCUUGUUUGUAUUGUAUUUCAUAGUCGAGCCCCAAUAACUUGGAUAACCAUUUCUAUUGUAGUGAGGUAGUAACUCUUUGCUUCAGUAGGUACUUGAGUGAUUGGUGGCCUAUUUUAAUUAAGAAGUGGUGGCCUUCAAGGUAAUGUCUUCACUUAUUCAUUGCUGUAAACAAUGCCAGUAGCUCAUUUUCAUAGAUGUAUAGGCCUAAGUUCUUGCUAUUUGUGCCUUUACUUAGAUAAGCUAAUGGCCUCCUAUUUUGCAUUAUGAUAGCUACAAUCCCUCCAUAACAUGCAUCAGUUUCAAUUAUGAAAAGUGAGGAAAAAGUCUGGUAAUGAUUACACGGGUGUGGUACUUAUAGCCUUUUUUAAUUCCUGAAAAGCCACACCAACAGCCUUACUCCAAUUAAAGUUGUCUUUCUUCGGUAAUUCAGUUAGGGGUCUGGCCAUAGCCCCAUAACCCUUUACAAUUUGAGAAUAAUCAGCUGCUCCUUUCUUUUGCAGAGAUGAUGUGUUCGAUGUAUUCUAUUUUAGACCGGCCAAAAGAACAUUUACCCUCUUUGGUAAAAAGCUAGUGGUGUUUGAAGAGCUCCAAUACCAUAGUGACAUGUUUACAAUGAGAUUUCAAGUCUUGGUUAUAAAUGAAUAUGUCAUCAAAGAAUACCAAAACAAAUUUCCUGAGAUGCUGAUUAAAUAUUUCAUUCAUCAUUCAAUUGAAAGUUGCAGGAGCAUUGUUAAACCCAAUUGGCAUUACCCUGAAUUCAUACAGCCUGUCAUGUGUUUUGAAGGUUGUUUUAAGGGUGUCCUCUUCUGCCACCCUAAUUUGGUGGUAUCCAACCCUCAAAUUAUUUGUAAACCAUCUUACACCCUUUAAUUCAUCCAAUAGCUCAUCUAUGACUGGCAUGGGAUCUUUUCCUUAAUGGUGAAACUAUUCAACUGUCUAUAGUCUACGCAAAACCUCCAUGUGCCAUCCUUCCUUUUCACUAGUAGGAUAGGAGAGGCAUAGGGGCUAUUACUAGCCCUUAUGAUUCCAUUUUCUUUCAUUUCCUUUAAUAUUCUUCAAUCUUCGCUUUCUGAACAUAAGGACACCUGUACGGCCUGAUUUUAAAUGGUUGUGCACCCUCCUUCAAUGGUAUACGAUGAUCAUUAAAUCGUAUAGGUAGCAAUCCCUUGGGUUCCAAGAAAACUAUAGGGAACUGAUUUACCACUGCCUUAAGUUCAGCUGGGACGGGUUCCUAUUCUCUUUCAGCAAUGGCAGAUAUUUGAGCCACUAUACCAUAAGACUGUUUCUUGAGUUCACUUUUCCUCUCAUAAUCUGGAAUUCUUCCCUGAUUGCGUCAUUCUGGAGUUUUAUUUCUAUACCCUCAUAAUUGGCUUAGCCAAUCCACUUCAUUCCAAGUACCAUAUCACUCCCUCCCAAUUUAAGCACCCUUAGUUGAAACUGAAGUUCCUCUUAUAUCCUCCAAACCAGUGGAUUACACACAGCUUCACUGACCAAUUUUCCUCCCCCUGCCACAGUCACUGAUGUGGGUUUUGCUUGCUGCAUCUUAAAGUUGAUAGACUGAGCCAUUUGUUCGUCUAUGAAACUGUAAGUGUUCCCACUAUCAAUUAAUAUAGACACCUUCCUUCCUUUAGUCAUCCUAGGAGGUCUUAUUGUCUUCACCACAGGGUUGCCUAAUAAUGCAUAGAUGGAUAUCUGCAUCAUUUCACCAUCUCCUUACCUAUUUGUUCUUUUACUUCAUCCAGUGGUUCCACUAUCUCCCUGUCACCUUCAUCAUCUACUAGUAUAAAAUGGGGCAUCUUAUUCUUGCAUACGUGCCAUUUAGUAUACUCUUAAUCACAUUUGUAACACAAUCCCAGCUCCUUUUUAGUAUGAAAAUCUAUAGGGAUCACAGCUUUAAAUUUAAGAGGGCUGUUGGAGUUUUUGGAAAUAGGUUCAGAAUGGCUUAUAUGUUUAUUAGUAACUUUAUUUGGCUUUGGGUUAGGAUUUGGAUUGGUGCAUUUAGAGUAGGGGUGUGGUUUGAAGGUAUUGGAUCCUUUGUUUAAGGCCGUUAUGAUAUUCUCUUGAAAGAGGUCAAUCUCAAAGGCUUUGACAAGGGUGGGGGGUUGAAUCAUUUUCACCAUAGGUUUGAUCUCAUCGUUCAGACCAUUGGUGAAAAUCGACAUGUAAUACGACUCGAUAAGUAGGGCAAGGAUGCCAUUACCUAGUAUUUCAGCUCCUCAAAUUGUUCUUGAUACUUCAUGACAGACCCCUUCUGCCUUAAUUUACUAAAGAUUUCAUCUACUUUUUCAGCUGUAUUGUCAGCAAAUCGCCUCUGCAAACGCAUCCAAUUAGCAGUUGGGUAGCUGGGGAUAAAACCAUGAAACCAAAUGUUAGCCUUUCCUUUUAGAUGUAUCUCUGAGAUUCACAUUUUCAACUCAUCCGCAACCUGAUGAAUUUGAAAAUACUCAUUUUCCUUCCUCAACCAUUCUCGUGGCCUUUUUCCACUAAAAUAAGGGAAAUUUGUCUUUGGUAAUUUGAUAGCCAUCCUCAUCUUCUUACUUCUACUGGAAUUACCAGAGUGGAUUUCAUUUCCCUUAAGACUGAGCUAACAUCAGCCUUAUUACCAACCUAUUUUUCUUUGUAAUCAGCCUUAUUACCAACCAACUGAGCUAACAUCAGCACCAUCGAUUCUUGAUUAGGUUUCAUUUUUCCAAUCAUCUGCUCCAUCCGAUCUUGACUAGCACAAAUGACCUGCAGCAUUUGGUCAUUGGUUUUAAAAACCACUACCAAAUUCGCUAUUUUCUUAUCUAACCUCUUAAGGUGUUCUUCGUUCGAUUUUCUGCCAUUCCCAGAUCCGUUGAUGCACUUGUACCAAUGUGUAAUGGUUGAACUGAAAUUCUCAUCCAAAUUUCCUAAAAUCCAACAACACGAUCAAUUUCCAAUUGAGAUUCUCCAUCACCAAGACUUCAAUUAAAAUUCAAAUGCAAUUACAGGAAAUAAGAACAAAAUAAACGAAAAAAUAGAAAUAAGGAGAGAGAGUUCAGAGAUAAGAUCCUUGAAAAUGAUUAUUCACACUGUUUUCCCUUUUUCACCUGCCGUUAUAACAGAAGGAAAUUGGAUUUUUGGAAACAUGUUUUUAUAAAAUGCAUUGACUUAUUACAAUUAAAACUCCAUGUAAAACGAUGCCGGACAAAUUUGAAUUUCAGUUAGCCGUUGAAGUUCCUUCUUCAUUCAUUUUCCUUGACCUGGCGCUUAUCUGUCCUUUCCUUCCCCAAUUCAACUGAUCUUCUCCCUUUGUGCCUCCAUCAUAACAUUGACGUGAAACGUAAAAAUUCAUUUAGGGCAAUGUAGAAACAAUGAAAAAAAUAAACUUAUUUUCUUGCACAAUAAUCUUUUUAGUAAAAGUAAAUCAAUGUAGUAUAAGAAGCAACAAAACUAUAGUCUAUAAUAUGACACGUGUUAAGAAUAUUUAGGCCCCGUUUGAUACCCACUUUUUUCAAAAUGCAUUUUUCUCUCACUUUUUUUCUACCAUACAUUUUUCAUUAAAAUAAUAUUACACGUAAAUAAAAAACUUUUCAUUAUUUUUCAACUACACAUUUCCCAUCAAUUUACUAUUCCAAAAUGUAUUUUUACAUAAAAAUGGCUUCCAAACACCCUCUUAGACGUCUAUCACCAUUUUAGAGUUUAUUCUCAUAUUAUUUUGAAUUAUUAUUGCAAAAGAAAAAAUAUUAUCUAAUAAACAAUUUAUAAGAAACUUCAUAAUAAAUACAUAGGAAAAAAAAUAGAAGCAUGUCUUGGUGGUACAUUAAUGGACUAGUCGACUACAAGAUCAAUAUUUCAUUAAAUUUGUAGUAGUUGAGAAUGAAACAAAAAGCGAAAAGACUCAACUUUAACAGAAAAAGGAAUGAGGUUAUAUUGAAAUGAUAUCUAUUGUAAUAUCAACAUAUUGAGUGUGAGUAUACCUUUUUAUAAUAUAUGUGGAUACAACUUAUGUCGAUUAUGCGAAAGUAGAAAAUUAAUUACUUAUGUAAAACGUUAAGUGAAUCACAAAAAACACGAAGUUGCUAUUGACAAGGAACAUAACAUGUGAUGAUGUAAUAUGAUUACCUCAACAAUUGACCACGCAAUAACCUUUCAACUACUUACUAUAUAAUCCAUGAACUUGGUAUACUUUUGGUCAAGUUGACAAGGGCCUACAACAGAGAGAUGCAAAUGCUAGAUUUUAAUGGUGAAACGUUGCAAGUUAAACUCACCGAUUAAAAAGUAAGAAAUAAUUAAGAAAAUGAAAAAGCAUUCACUUGGUCAUAAACUUUAUUGGAUACUAUUUACACUAGAAGUCAACAUAACACACUCCACGAGAGAAUUGUAUAAAUACAAGUGUGUCAAGCGUGUUUCAGAUAUUUGUAUUCUUUCAGAUAUUUGUAUUCAUAUCAACUUUUCUUUGAAAGUAUGAUUUUUCAACAGUUUUUCACUGCUUUCUUUUUCUAUAUCUAUUUCCAUCGAUCACUCUUAGGAUUGUCAUUUUCAUUGUCUAAACAUUUGUUUUUGGAGUUUGGAAGCUUCAUUGAAUCACUUCAAUGGCUUGCACGCCACCAGAAGUCCAUGUUUUGCUAGUUGAACAUGACGCUAAUCAUCUUAUUUCAACAAAGAAAAUGUUGGAAUUCUUUUCAUAUAAAGGUAAAUAUAUCAAAGAUUAAAUUUUCAUUUUAGUUUAAGUUUAAAUUAUUACAAGUAUAGAUAUGACAGAAGAACAUUCACCAUUUAAUUUCUUCUUGAAAUUGAAUUAUAAAAUCUUCCAUUAUGUUUUGCUUCUAUAGUCAGAUUUUGUUUAAUUUCAUGAUCGACAUGUGAUUUUGGGAAGAAUAAGUCGAAAUAGGUCGAGUGCUUUAAUCAAUUACGAUUAAUAUUAUAUCAAAAGUAAAUCUUCAUUUCAUGCUGAAUGCCAAAGCUUACCUUUUGGAAAGUAGACAAAUAGGUAAUACAUUUAGAAUUCACUAUAUGCAAUCAUUUAAAAAAUCACAUUUUCUUUAGGGCUAUUAAAGGAUUCAUUUUUUGCGUAAACUCAAAAUUACAUAAAAAAUUGGUUAGAAGAAAAUGUUUCUUGGACGUCUCACAAGGAUUAUAUACAUAUGCUUAUGUAAAUGUAAAAAUUAUUUUCAAAAAGAAAUAAAAUAAUAGAUCAAUAUAUUUCUUACAUUGUGAUAAUAUUAGUUUUUUUUUUCUUUUUUUAUCUGAUAAUUUCCCAAAUUACAAAUUUCGUUUCCUAUUCAUUAUUCUCUGGCAUCUCGUACAUAUAUUUCAAUGCAAGAUAAUUAAAUAAAAAAAUAAGAUUUUUAUUUUCUAUCAGUAGUUCAUUUUUGAUAUGGCUUGAAGGAGAAAUAACAUCUUAACAACUUGCUUAUCUUUUGCAUUUCGUUAAUAAUCAGAGUUCAUGAUUGUGAUUCUUACUUCUUCAUUAAGAAAAUAAAGAUUUUUUGCUAUAUAUUUUAUAGAUACAUGUACAUAGUCAUAUAGGUCUUAUUUAUUUGGCUAAUCUAUACAUAAAUAUCUGAUCUAGGUUCAGACAAGCAUACCUUCAUGUGAUCACACUCAUACUGGCAAAAAGGAUUUUAGAAAAAGAAGAGAAAAAAUAAUUUUGCAAGUGUAAAGGGAGAUGAUUUAUAAUGUGCAAAAAUGGGUAGUUUUUAUAAAUUUCGAUAUUAAAAUUUAUUACAUUAAUUUUUUAAAUUUAAUUUUUUAUUUCUCAUUUAAUGAUUCUAAAGUAAAUAGUUUGUUUUGUAGUAAAAUGCGUUGAAUAUGCCUCCACUGCUUUGUUGAUGUUAUCAAAUGAGAAGGUUCAGGUUGAUAUUGUGAUGGCAAAUAUCAACUAACUUGACGCAUGCGCCUUUAUGCUUCUCCAA